GGGUUUACCAUUUCAAGAGAAACAUGUAAUGCAGCAGGCCUCUAUUCUAGGGAAUCUAGAAGAAUUUGGGGUUCUGAAAAGUUGUAAGGAUGAUGCUGUAUCAGGGCCAGUUAAGUUAGAAGCAUCCGGGGACGACGAUGAUGUUCCCGCCGUUGUUGAAUUCGGAGCAGGAAGAGGGUACUUGACACAAGUUCUGGCUGACUGUUACAGAAUUAAGAAGAUUUUAUUAGUUGAACGCAAAUCAUACAAGCUCAAGGCUGAUCGAAGUUUGCGACAGAAAGAGAGUGUUACGCUGGAGCGAUUGAGAAUUGACAUUGAGGACCUAAAGUUGAAUUCUGUUGAGAGUUUACAGGGAGUUCCUUAUCUAGCAAUUGGC
RNAcentral lists this unclassified non-coding RNA (376 nucleotides) under Hevea brasiliensis (rubber tree). The record is from RNAcentral. Lineage: Eukaryota; Viridiplantae; Streptophyta; Magnoliopsida; Malpighiales; Euphorbiaceae.